GAUGAAGAACGUAGCGAAAUGCGAUACUUGGUGUGAAUUGCAGAAUCCCGUGAACCAUCGAGUCUUUGAACGCAAGUUGCGCCCGAAGCCAUUAGGCCGAGGGCACGCCUGCCUGGGCGUCACACGUCGUUGCCCCCCCAUCUAAUCCUUCGGGAUUGCGGGGGGCGGAUGAUGGCCUCCCGUGCGCCUCGUCGCGCGGUUGGCGUAAAUGCCAAGUCCUCGGCGACGCACGCCACGACAAUCGGUGGUUGCGAAACCUCGGUUGCCCGUCGUGUGCGGUCGUCGCGCAUCGAGGGCUCGAAAAAAUUGCCGGGCUCCGGCUCGACUUUCAACGCGACCCCAGGUCAGGCGGGGUUACCCGCUGAAUUUAAGCAUAUCAAUAAGCGGAGGA
Molecule: unclassified non-coding RNA, 391 nt
Filed under: soil metagenome
Description: partial contains 5.8S ribosomal RNA, internal transcribed spacer 2, and large subunit ribosomal RNA
Rfam family: 5.8S ribosomal RNA (bases 1-122)
Source: RNAcentral